Non-coding RNA from Triticum aestivum (bread wheat), 130 nucleotides. Lineage: Eukaryota; Viridiplantae; Streptophyta; Magnoliopsida; Poales; Poaceae. The record is from Rfam.
AAUCUAUUCCCUCCGUCCGGAAAUACUUGUUAGAGAAAUGCAUAAAAAUGGAUGUAUCUAGUUUAGAAUUAAAAUAUAUCUAGAUACAUCCAUUCCUCCGACGAGUAUUUCCGGACGGAGGGAGUAUAAU